This is a long non-coding RNA of Numida meleagris (helmeted guineafowl), 2028 nucleotides long. RefSeq lists it as uncharacterized. Lineage: Eukaryota; Metazoa; Chordata; Aves; Galliformes; Numididae. The record is from RefSeq and is a predicted model, not a curated record. The transcript is spliced from 2 exons.
UGACAUCAGUUGCCUUCCCUUUGUGCGUCGAUGCCAUCAUUCCAUCAUAGAAGGCCAGCAGACCUUCCCUUGGUGAAGCCAUGCUGGCUGUCUCGAAUCACCUGCUUGUCCCUCGUUCCUUAACAUGUCUUCCAGGAGCAUCUGCUCAUGAUCUUCCCAGGAACAGAGUUCCCAGGGACUUCGUCUGACAGCUACAGUUUUUCAAAUAUAAUGGAGAGCAUCAUGGCAACCCCAUCAGCAAGCUCUCUUAGGACCCUGGGAUGCAUGUUGUCUGGCUCCAUGGACUUGUACACAUUCAGUCUCAUAAGUUGGUCUUGGACUUGCUCCACCAGUACAGUGGGAGGGAGUUUGCUCCUGCAGUGGGGAGAAGUUUCCUACCUGAUAUAUUCAGCCUUUUUUAUUAGCAAAGAUUGAAACAGAUCAAGAAUAAGAUUCUCACUUCUAUUUUUUUCUGGUAACAUGAUUUUGCUUAUUUAUUUAAGCACUUCAAUAUUCAGGAAUAUAUCGAGUAGCCUAUAGUGACUUUAUCUGGAGAAAGAUCAUCUAUUUUUCUUAACUUCAUUUAACUUCAGUUACAAUAUACUUUACAGUAAUUAACAUAUUUGGUGGAGAUUUAUUUCAGGUAUUGUCAGAACAACCAAAUUCUGCACAUGUGAUGUUUAUACAUUUGAAUUGCACAUUAGUUCCCCAAGUCACUAUAAUGUAUGGAAGUUAUCAGUAUGCAAGCAAAAAGACCUGCUUUGAGGCAUGUUGAAAAGGUUGCCACAAACAGUAGUUGGAUUAGAAUAUAUAUGGAGCAGAACAAAACAUGGAAAUUGGAGCAGCAGGCAUAAGUACUGUAGGACACAGGGAGAGUAGAUGGCAGCAUGCUGUAGCCUUCUUUAAGAAAAUCUUCAAGCUAGAGGAAAUAUUUUUUAGGGAUGUCCAUAUGAGAAAGCAGGAAGUGCAGGGUCUGUCAUCAGCCAAAAGGAGGAGGCAGGUGUGCAUAUGAGUGCUGGAUGGAGGACGAGGAUCAUAGAAUCACAGAAUCAUAGAAUGGCCUGGGUUGAAAAGGACCUCAGAGAGGAUAGCUGGACGUGGGUUAGGUGAAAGAAGGAGGAGGAGAGGGGAGUCUUGGUGGGGACAGAUUUCAAUGGCAGCUAGCCUGGUAUUACGCCUCACAUGUCUUCUAUGCCUGUGACUGCUUUAUGUAUGCUUCUACCUAUUUCUGUCAUACUACUAUUAGAAAGAAUAAUGAACAGUAUGGAAGAUGGAUUUGUUGGCUGCACAGAAAAUAUGAACUUAAGAAGAUCCAAACUGAGACUAAAGAGUAUUUCUCAAUCUCAUAAACUGUUUGACAAACUUAGUUGCAACCAUACAUGAGAGCCAGCUUGAGAACAUCACACAAGAGAUUUGGUUCUCGUAAAGUCUGCCUUAAGUCAGCUAGUGGACACUAAUUCAUGUAGAAAUACAGCACAUGACUGUGUUAAAAAAGUUAAACACUUUUGAGCAGAGUUAGAACACAAAAGCUGAUCACAAAAGUUUUGAGUCUUCCUUUGAUAUCAAACAUGGCAAUCUAUUUAAAGCAAUUUUUUUCCCCAAAAAGAAGAGAACAUGUAGUUCUCUUCUAUUAGUAGAAAUAUUAGUAGAAAAAUUAGUAAAUUUUUCAGCUUGAAACACUCUCUGAGAAAAGUAAUAUUUAAUUGGAUAUUUUCUAAACAAAACCUUAUGCUUUCAUUUUCAUUUUGGUAUUUUUACUAAGUGCAAUAAGUGGUACGUAUCUAACUAUUUUUUUUAAGAGAUGUGUGAAACUCUUGACCUGAAGUUCUGUUUCAAGUAUUAUUGCUGCUACUGCUGUGGCUGCUGUUAUUCCUGGUAUUACUUCAUUUCACAGGAGGAAAUACAACUUCUGUAAAUGUGCAUGAUGACUGCAGUGUGCCACAGAUGAUUUGAGUUCCACCGCACAAUUGUGAAACAUUCCCCUUAUCCACAGCAUAAUCAAAUCAGAGGUGUACGCACACACACCUCAAAUAAAUGUAUUAUGAACCA